Serinus canaria (Common canary) is the source of this 393-nucleotide long non-coding RNA. RefSeq lists it as uncharacterized. The transcript has 3 exons. NCBI's taxonomy places the organism in Eukaryota, Metazoa, Chordata, Aves, Passeriformes, Fringillidae. The record is from RefSeq and is a predicted model, not a curated record.
UUUUGUGGCAGCUGAGGGGCGGUGGGAAAUGGCGGGAGCGGGGCUGAGGGGGGCUGGGGGUUAGCUGCGUCUCGCCAGCUGUGCUGGACCGCUUUUAAUGUACAGGUCAUGGAUCCCGCUAAAUGGAUGAAAAGUGCAGUAAGGAAGGACCUUAAGGAAUGGACCUUAUAAUGGGAAGGACCUUAAAGCUCAUCCGGUUCUACGCUCCCCGCCCCCUACGGGCAGGGACACCUCCCACCAUCCCAGUCUUUUGCAGCAUUAAUGAAAUCUCCCAAAAGACUGUUUAAAAUAUGUAAGGGAAGGUUGGUUACCCAGGCCCUAUUCCAGAGGGUGCACAAGGACUUGCACUUGCACUUGCACAAUGUUCACAGCUAUACAUAUUUUCACCGUGAC